UACAGAGGAGCCAAGCGUUGUCCGGAUUGACUGGGCGUAAAGCGCACGCAGGCGGACGCGCGCGUGGGGUGUGAAAUCUGGCCGCUUAACGGCCAGGCGCCAUCCCAUACGGCGCGACUGGAGUGAUGCAGAGGUCGAUGGAAUUGCCGGUGUAGUGGCGAAAUGCGUAGAGAUCGGCAGGAACACCCAGGGGGAAACCAGUCGACUGGGCAUCUACUGACGCUGAGGUGCGAAAGCGUGGGGAGCAAACAGG
RNAcentral lists this ribosomal RNA (253 nucleotides) under uncultured bacterium. RNAcentral's name for it is "partial 16S ribosomal RNA". It matches the Rfam family "Bacterial small subunit ribosomal RNA", at positions 524 to 776 of the family's 1533-position model. The record is from RNAcentral.